UUCUUCGGGGCGGGGCGCAAUUCCCCACCGGCAGUAAAGUCUGCGAGCCAAGUUUUUGGUAUGAUUAGGUGCAAUUCCUAAACCGACGGUAUAGUCCGGAUGGUAGAAGAUA
RNAcentral lists this non-coding RNA (112 nucleotides) under human gut metagenome. RNAcentral's name for it is "FMN riboswitch (RFN element)". It matches the Rfam family "FMN riboswitch aptamer (RFN element)". Rfam says of the family: The RFN element is a highly conserved domain that is found frequently in the 5'-untranslated regions of prokaryotic mRNAs that encode for flavin mononucleotide (FMN) biosynthesis and transport proteins. This element is a metabolite-dependent riboswitch that directly binds FMN in the absence of proteins. The record is from RNAcentral.